This 405-nucleotide ribosomal RNA is filed under the name uncultured bacterium. RNAcentral's name for it is "bacterial SSU rRNA". It matches the Rfam family "Bacterial small subunit ribosomal RNA", at positions 355 to 775 of the family's 1533-position model. The record is from RNAcentral.
UGAGGAAUUUUCCGCAAUGGGCGAAAGCCUGACGGAGCAAUACCGCGUGGAGGAUGACAGCCCGUGGGUCGUAAACUCCUUUUCUCAGAAAAGAAAAAAUGACGGUAUCUGAGGAAUAAGCAUCGGCUAACUCCGUGCCAGCAGCCGCGGUAAUACGGAGGAUGCAAGCGUUAUCCGGAAUGAUUGGGCGUAAAGCGUUUUAAGGUGGUUUGGUAAGUCUACUGUUAAAUAUCAGGGCUUAACCCUGAACAGGCAGUGGAAACUAGCAAGCUUGAGUACGGUAGGGGCAGAGGGAAUUCCCGGUGUAGCGGUGAAAUGCGUAGAUAUCGGGAAGAACACCGAAGGCGAAGGCACUCUGCUGGGCCGAAACUGACACUGAUAGACGAAAGCUAGGGGAGCAAAUGG